This 917-nucleotide ribosomal RNA is filed under the name uncultured bacterium. Its description in RNAcentral is "bacterial SSU rRNA". It matches the Rfam family "Bacterial small subunit ribosomal RNA", at positions 33 to 933 of the family's 1533-position model. The record is from RNAcentral.
ACGCUGGCGGCGUGCCUAAUACAUGCAAGUAGAACGCUGAAGGAGGAGCUUGCUUCUCUGGAUGAGUUGCGAACGGGUGAGUAACGCGUAGGUAACCUGCCUGGUAGCGGGGGAUAACUAUUGGAAACGAUAGCUAAUACCGCAUAACAGUAGAUGUUGCAUGACAUUUGCUUAAAAGGUGCAAUUGCAUCACUACCAGAUGGACCUGCGUUGUAUUAGCUAGUUGGUGGGGUAACGGCUCACCAAGGCGACGAUACAUAGCCGACCUGAGAGGGUGAUCGGCCACACUGGGACUGAGACACGGCCCAGACUCCUACGGGAGGCAGCAGUAGGGAAUCUUCGGCAAUGGACGGAAGUCUGACCGAGCAACGCCGCGUGAGUGAAGAAGGUUUUCGGAUCGUAAAGCUCUGUUGUAAGAGAAGAACGAGUGUGAGAGUGGAAAGUUCACACUGUGACGGUAUCUUACCAGAAAGGGACGGCUAACUACGUGCCAGCAGCCGCGGUAAUACGUAGGUCCCGAGCGUUGUCCGGAUUUAUUGGGCGUAAAGCGAGCGCAGGCGGUUAGAUAAGUCUGAAGUUAAAGGCUGUGGCUUAACCAUAGUACGCUUUGGAAACUGUUUAACUUGAGUGCAAGAGGGGAGAGUGGAAUUCCAUGUGUAGCGGUGAAAUGCGUAGAUAUAUGGAGGAACACCGGUGGCGAAAGCGGCUCUCUGGCUUGUAACUGACGCUGAGGCUCGAAAGCGUGGGGAGCAAACAGGAUUAGACACCCUGGUAGUCCACGCCGUAAACGAUGAGUGCUAGGUGUUAGACCCUUUCCGGGGUUUAGUGCCGCAGCUAACGCAUUAAGCACUCCGCCUGGGGAGUACGACCGCAGGUUGAAACUCAAAGGAAUUGACGGGGGGCCCCGCACAAGCGGU